This 392-nucleotide ribosomal RNA is filed under the name uncultured bacterium. RNAcentral describes it as "bacterial SSU rRNA". It matches the Rfam family "Bacterial small subunit ribosomal RNA", at positions 28 to 423 of the family's 1533-position model. The record is from RNAcentral.
GACGAACGCUGGCGGCGUGCUUAACACAUGCAAGUCGAGCGGUAAGGCCCUUUCGGGGGUACACGAGCGGCGAACGGGUGAGUAACACGUGGGUGACCUGCCCUCAGCUCUGGGAUAAGCCUGGGAAACUGGGUCUAAUACCGGAUAUGACUCCAUGACGCAUGUUGUGGGGUGGAAAGCCUUGUGCGGCUGAGGAUGGGCCCGCGGCCUAUCAGCUUGUUGGUGGGGUGANGGCCUACCAAGGCGACGACGGGUAGCCGGCCUGAGAGGGCGACCGGCCACACUGGGACUGAGACACGGCCCAGACUCCUACGGGAGGCAGCAGUGGGGAAUCUUGCGCAAUGGGCGAAAGCCUGACGCAGCGACGCCGCGUGAGGGAUGACGGCCUCGGU